GGAAGACUUAAGAUGGCGGCGUUUGCACGGAGUGCAAUCACUGCGUCCUUACGGGGGUUGCAAGGCGUCCGAAGUAUGAGUCCACUAACAAAAGUCCAGAAACUCGCCAGUUAAUAGUAUUGUGAUGGAGUUCGCUCUUGUUGCCCAGGCUGGAAUGCAAUGGCAUGACCUUGGCUCACUGCAACCUCUGCCUCCCCAGUUCAAGUGGUUCUCCUGCCUCAGCCUCCCGAGUAGCUGAGAUUACAGGUACUGGCUCCUGUAUCACCCAGCUCUGGAGUUGAAAGAGCUCUUCAUUCCUGAGUCUCCUGUACCACUGAGAAUAGGCUGGAGUGCAGUGGCGCAAUCUCGGCUCUCUGCAACCUUCACCUCCCGUGUUCAAGUGAUUCUCCUGCCUCAGCCUCCUGAAUACCUGAGAUUACAAGCAUGCACCACCACGCCCGUCUAAUUUUGUAUUUUCACUAGAGACGGGGUUUCUCCAUGUUGGUCAGGCUGGUCUCGAACUCCCGACCUCAGGUGAUCCGCCCGCCUCAGCCUCCCAAAGUGCUGGGAUUACAGGCAUGAGCCACCGCGUCCAGCAAGAAUAGGUGAUUUUCAAACUUGGAAACAUUCAGAAGUUAUCGCCUCAGUUUCAGAUUGAGUAGUCUCAAAGAGAUUACAGACAUCUACCACAAAUUCUCUACUUGGUGUGGUGCAAAAUCAGUAUGAUGUAAACUUUGUCUCUCAGUUUCUUCAAAGGAAAGAAGCAACUGGAACACACAUAUAACACUAACCCUUCCAGCUGCAUUAUGAGGGACCAGUACCUGUCUCAAGGCAAAAUUAUGACUUAGUUCAUCCUCACCUCUGGAGGCCAGUAAAAGUGGGUUAUAGAAGAACAAAGAGGCAUCUAGAUCUUUCACUGGGUUAUUUGGAGAGAAACAUCUCCUACCGAAGGCCAGUUUAACAAGACUGGUAGAGGAGGUUAUCUUAUCUAAUUCACAGAAAUCAACACAUUGAGUCAAGAAAAAUGAAACACAGAAACACUCUAAAUAAAAGAAGAUAAGUCUUCAGAAACCAACCCUAAUGAAAUGAAGAUAUGUGAUUAACCUGACAGGAAAUUAAAAAGAGCAACCAUAAAGAGUCUCAUGGGAGCAAUGCAUGAACAAACUGAGAAUUUUCAUAAAGAAAUAAAAGAUAACAAAAAGUAUAAAGUUGAAGAAUACAAUAACUGGACUCAAAAAUUUAAUGUGUCCAACAGAAGAAUCGAUGAAGCAGAAGAAAGGGCUAUCAAACUUGUAGAUAGGCCAUUGGAAAUCAUGUAAUGUGAGGAGAAAAAAGAAAAAAGAUUGAAGAUAGUUUAAGAGACUUUUGAGACAUCCUCAAAGGGGAAUAAUUUAUACAUUACCAGAUGGAGAAGAUAGAGGGAAAAGGACAGAAAACAUAUUUGAAGAAAUAAUGUCAGAAAACCUCAUAAUUCUGGCAAGGAAAUAGAAAUUUAGAUCUAAGAAUCUCGAACAUCAGGUAUGAUGAAUCCAAGGAGACUCACACCAAACCAUAUUGUAAUUAAAUAAAGGUUAAAGACAAUCUUCAGAGCAGCAAGGGAAUAGUCUCUUCUUACAUACAAAAUGAUCCACGGAAGACUGUCAGCAGACUUCACCAGAAAACUUUCACGCCAGAAGGCAGUCGUGAUAUAUACAAAAAGCUGAAAGGAAAACACUGCCAUCCAGGAAUACUAUCUCCAACUAUCCUGUGUUUCAAAAAUUAAGGAGAAAUAUAAAGUUCUCAAACAAAAGAUGUGGGAGUUUACCACCACUAGACCUGCACGGGAAGAAUUGCUAAAGGGAGUCCUUCAAGCUGUAGUAAAAGAGUGCUAAUUAGAAACAUGAAAACAAAUACAAAAAAAAUUCUAAAACUUGUAUGGAACUACAAAAGACAUUAAAUAAUCAAAGUAAUCUUGAGCAACAAGGACACAGCUGGAGGCAUCACUCUACCUGAUUUUGUAAUCCAUUAUCAAAAAACUGUGGUACCAGCAUAAAAACAGAUUCACUGACCAGUGGAACAGGAAAGCCCAGACAUAACUCAUACAUUUCCAUCCAAUUGAUUUUUGACAAAAGUGGCACACAGAAUGGGGAGAGGACAAAUAAAUAAAUAAAUUGUUUUGAGAUAUCUGUAUAUCUAUAUGUGAAAUUGAACCAUUUUCUCAUAGCAUAUAGAAAAAUCAACUCAAAAUGGAUUAAAGCCUGAAAUGUUGCCUUUGAAACUGUAAAACUACUAGUAGAAAAUAUAGGGGAAAAGCUCUAUGAUGUUGUUCUGGGCAAUGAUUUCUUGGAUACAUCCUUAAAAGCAUGGGCAGCAAAAACAGCCAGACAACUAUCAGGGAACCUGCCCAGAUAGUCACAUAGGUUCUUUUCUAUUUUCCCUAAGCAUUGGCCGGGUUGAGAAAUAAAGGGACAGAGUACAAAAGAGAGAAAUUUUAAAGCUGGGCAUCCUGGGGAGACAUCACAUGUCGGUAGGUUCCGUGAUGCCCCCUGAGCCGUAAAACCAGUAAGUUUUUAUUAGGGAUUUUCAAAGGGGAGGGAGUAUACGAAUAGGAGGUGGGUCACAGAGAUCACGUGCUUCACAAGGUAAUAGAAUAUCACAAGGCAAAUGGAGGCAGGGCGAGAUCACAGGACCACAGGACUGGGUUGAAAUUAAAAUUGCUAAUGAAGUUUCGGGCACCAUCGUCAUUGAUAACAUCUUAUCAGGAGACAGGGUUUGAGAGCAACCUGUCUGACCAAAAUUUAUUAGGUGGGAAUUUCCUCGUCCUAAUAAGCCUGGGAGCGCUAUGGGAGACUGGGGCUUAUUUCAUCCCUACAGUCUCGACCAUAGAAGACAGCUACACCCAAGGGGGCCAUUUUAGAGGCCCACCCUCAGGGGCACAUUCUCUUUCUCAGGGAUGUUCCUUGCUGAGAAAAAGAAUUCGGCGAUAUUUCUCCCAUUUGCUUUUGAAAGAAGAGAAAUAUGGCUCUGUUCCGCCUGGCUCACCGGCGGUCAGAGUUUAAGGUUAUCUCUCUUAUUCCCUGAACAUUGCUGUUAUCCUGUUCUUUUUUCAAGGUGCCUAGAUUUCAUAUUGUUUAAACACACAUGCUCUACAAUUUCUGCACUUAACACAAUUAUCACAGGGUCCUGAGGCGACAUACGUCCUCCUCGGCUUACGAGAUGACAGGAUUAAGAGAUUAAAACAGGCAUAGGAAAUCACAAGGGUAUUGAUUGGGGAAGUGAUAAGUGUCCAUGAAAUCUUCACAAUUUAUGUUUAGAGAUUGCAGUAAAGACAGGCAUAAGAAAUUAUAAAAGUAUUAAUUUGGGGAACUAAUAAAUGUCCAUGAAAUCUUCACGAUCCACGUUCUUCCGCCAUGGCUUCAGCCAGUCCCUCCGUUUGGGGUCCCUGACUUCCCGCAACAGACAACUUGAGUUGCAUCAAACUAAAAAGCAUCUGCACUGCAAAGGGUACAGUUAACAGAAUGAAGACACGGGUUUUGAGAAACCAUUUUCAAAUCAUAUAUCUGAUAAGGGGCUAAUAUCCAAAAUGUAUUAAGAAACCCAAGCCCAAUAGCAAGAAAACAACUGUCUUUAAAAGGGGGAAAAGGACCUCAACUUAAAUUUUUCAGAGGAAGACAUGAGUGGCCAAUUGAUUGAUACAUGAAAAAAAUGCUCAACAUCUCUAAUCAUUAGUGAGUUGCAAAUCAAAACUGCAAGAUAUUACCUUACACCUUUUAGAAUGGCUAUUAUUAAAAGGAUGAAAGACAGGUGCUGGCAAGGAUGUGGAUAAAAGGAAGUCCCAACAUUCUGUUAGUGGGAAUAUAAAUUAGUAUAGCCAAUUUAGGAAACUAUAUGGUGGUUCCUUAAGAAACUAAAAGUACAAUUACUAUAUGAUCUAGCAAUCUCUACUUAGGUAUAUAUCCAAAGGAAUUGAAGCAGUAUGUUGAGAUCUUGCACUCCCUUAUUUUGAAAUUAUUUACAAAGCUAAUAAAUGGAAAAGACUUAAGUUUUCAUAACAGAUGAAUGGACAUAGAAGAUGUGUUGUAUAUACAUAUUGGAAUAUUUUUUAUCCUUGGAAAAGAAGGAAAAUUGUCAUUUGUGACAACAUGGAUGAAUCUGUAGUAUACUAUGCUAAGUGUUGUAAGACAGGCACAGAGAGGCAAAUACUACAUUAUAUUUGUAUGUGGAAUCUAAGAAAGGCUAACUCAUACAAGUAGAAAGUUGGAUGUUAUGGUUUCCAGGAUGUGGGUGUUGGAGAGAUGGGCAAAGGCAAGACGUUGGUCAAAGAGUACCAAUUUUCUGUUAGGAGGAAUAAGUUUUAGACAUAUUUCACAGCAUGGUGACCAUUGUCACUGACUGUAUAUUUUAAAAUUGUUAUAAGUAGAUAUUAAAGUUGUCACAACAAAAGUAGGUGAAGUUAUGGAUAUGUUAAUGUGCUUGAUUUAGUUAUUACACUAUGUAUACAUACAAAAACAUCAGAUAGUUCCCUGGAAUUAUAUACAAUUAUUACUUGUCAAUUAUAAAAAAAAGCCCUACUGCAACCACUAAAAAGGAUUUUCAUAUAAUAGAGGGAAAAAUCGUUAAAGAUAAUAAUACAUUAUUUUAGAAAAUAUUAACUUAUAAAAAGUAGUAUAGGAGGGAUUCUGUAAAAGAAGAUAGACAUAGAAUUUUAAAAUGUAUAAUGGAAAAUUUAAAUCCAGCUGUACUGAUGGAUCAAGCAAUCCAAACCAGUCUGAUUGACCAAGUGGAUAUUUAAAAAACAAUCAAACUAUAAGGUGUCUGUUGUAGGCAGUUUAUAAAAUACAAAAGUGUUGAAAGAAAUAGGAUGGAAAUAGAAAUAUCCAAGUAGCAACCACAAAAAAACUGGAAUGUCUGCACUAACAUCAUACAAAACAAACCAAAUGAAGGUUAAAAAUAUUGAAAUUAUACAAAAUAUGUUCUAUGACUAAAAUUUAAUGAAAUUAGAAAUAACACAGAGAUAGGAACUAUACAUAUUUGUGCAAAUUUAAAAAGUUAUGCUGAGUGUGGUGGCUCACACCUGUAAUCCCAGCACUUUGGGAGGCCGGGGAGGGUGGAUCACUUGAAGUCAGGAGUUGGAGACCAGCCUGGCCAACAUGGUGAAACCCUGUCUCUACUAAAAAUACAGAAAAUUAGCCAGAUGUGGUGGUGUGCGCCUGUAGUCCCAGCUACUCGGGUGGCUGAGGCACUAGAAUCACUUGAGCCUAGGAGGCAGAGGUGGCAGUGAGCCGAGAUCACACCACUGCACUGCAGCCUGGGCGACAAAGACUGUCAAAAAAAAAAAAAAAAAAAAAAAGUUACGUAACCAACAAGUCAAAGGAGAAUUUAUAAGGAAAUCAGAAAAUACUUUGAGGUGAAUGAAAAUACAGAAACAACAUAUCAAAUUCUGUGAGAUGUGUGAAAGCAACGCUUACAGUGAAAUUAAUAGCUAUGAACAUUGUAAUGAAAUGAGAAGUACUUCAAAUUACUAACCUAACUUUCCAACUUUAGAAAAUACAGUAAAAAAAGAACAAAUUAAAAUCAAAGCAGAAAGGAUAUAAAGUUUAGUGUGGAAAUAGAGAAUUAAAAAUAAUUGAGAAACACAGCACUUCGUUGACUUAUUCAUAAAAUAAAGCUUUAUUAAAAUGAGAAAUGUAAAACGUGAUGUUCCUAAUGACCUUAUUCCAUACAAGGGAUUAGUAUUUUGACAAAUAUCUUUGUGGAAGUAGACAAAUUCCUAGAAAGACACUGACUACCACAACUCAUUCAAGAACAAAGUGAAGACAAUAAAUUGGUAAUUUAAAAACUCUCACCCCUGCCCCUGACACACAUGUAAAUUCCCAGUUCAAAUGUAUUCUUUUGUAUAUUAUACCAAACACAUGAAAAUUACCAAUUCGAUAAAAAUGUCUUAAAAACUUGGAAGAGCAUGUAAUAUUUUUUACUGGUUCUAUGAUGCUAUUGUUAUCUAGAUACCAAAGUGAAACAUCAUACACAGGGAAAACUCUGAUAAUAUCGCUUAUGAGUGGAUCUGUGAAAUUUCCUAGUAAAUUUUGGCAAACCAAAUACAGUAACAUAUAAACAGGAAUGUACACCAGUACCCAGUACAGUGUAUCCCUGGAAUGCAACGUUAUUUCAUCAGCUGGAAAUGAUUAGUGCAACAGACUGAAGGAAGAAAACAACAUGGUCAUCUCAAUAGAUUGUGGACGGCUGGAAGUGGAGGCUCACGCCUGUAAUCCUAAUACUCCUACCAACAGUGUAUAAGCAUUCCUUUUUCUCUGUAACUUCACCAGAAUCUGUUUUUUUGUUUGUUUGUUUGUUUGUUUUUGACUUUGUAAUAGCCAUGGGCUGGGCUCAGUGACUCACGCCUGUAAUCCUAGCACUGGGGGAGGCUGAGGUGGGCGGAUCACUUGAGGUCAGGAGUUCGAGACCAGCCUGGCCAACAUGGUGAAACCCCAUCUCUACUAAAAAUACUAAAAUUACCUGUGCAUGGUGGCAAGUGCCUGUAAUCCCAGCUACUCGGGAGUCUGAGGCAGUAGAAUCACUUGAACCCAGGAGGUGGAGGUUGCAGUGAGCGGAGAUUGUGCCACUGCACUUGGACCUGGCUGACACAGCAAGACUAUGUUUAAAAAAAAAGAGAGAGAAAAAAAAAAUAGAAGGUGGAAAAAGUAUUUGGUAAACUAAGAAGUAAACCACAACCUAGUAAAGGGCAUAUUUUAAGAAUUCACAACUAGAACCUGGUGCCGUGGCUGUAAUCCCAGCACUUGGGGAAGCCAAAGCAGGAUUACUUGAGGCCAGAAGUCUGAGAUCAGCCUAGGCAAUAUAAGGAUACUCUGUAUCUUAAAAAAAAAAAAAAAAUCCAGAUGUGAUGACACAUGCCUGUACGCCUAGCUACUUGGGAAGCUGAGGUUCAUGUUUACAAUGAGCUAUGAUGAUGCCACUGUACUCCUGACUGAACAACAGAGUGAGACCCUGUCUCUAAAAAGCAAAACAAAACAGAAAACCCAAAACCCUCAAAACUAAUGUUACACUUAGUAUUUAAAGAAUGCUUUCUCUGUAAGAAGAGGAGCAAGGACAGGAUAAAACAUUCUUGCCAGUUCUGUUCAACAGUGUACUGGAAGUAUCUGUGACAUUAAUUGCAUUGCAUAUGGAAGGAAAUAAAAUUUUUUAAAUAGGAAGCAGCAAAACCUUUUGCAGAUGACAUGGUUUUGUACAUACACAACCCCAGUGGAUCCAAUAAAUUUGGAUUCCAAUAACAAGAUCAUCUCAGCAAGUUUUUGUGAUUUAAGAUUACAAUCCAAAAAUCAGUUGUAUUUCUAUAUAUUAUUAAAGAAGUCAAAAGUGACAUCAUUGAAACAUUUUUAUUUACAAUAUUAUUAAGGCAAAAUACUGUGGGAUAAAGUGAAAUUCAGCAUGAACUGUGAAUAACACAAAAUAUUUGUCAGAGGAGUUGAGGAAUAUCUACAUAUGUGGAAAGACAUCUCAUAUUUGUGGACUAGAAGAUUUAAGCAUCGCUAGGUGCGGUGGCUCACGCCUGUAAUCCCAGCACUUUGGUAGGCUGAGGUGGGCGGAUCACAAGGUCGGGAGUUCGAGACCAGCCUGGCCAAUAUGGUGAAACCCCGUCUCUACUAAAAAUACAAAAAAAUUAGGCGGGUGUGGUGGCGCAUGCCUGUAAUCCCAAUCCCUCUAGGCUGAGGCAGGAGAAUCUCUUGAUCCCGGGAGGCGGAGGUUGCAGUGAGCCAAGAUCGGGCCACUGCACUCCAGCCUGGGCAACAGAGCUAGGCUCCCUCUCAAAAAAAAAAAAAAAAAAGCAUCAAAAGGAUAGUUCAUUAAUGGAAAUAAUAAAUUGAAAAAGGGAAGGACAUCAAAGUUUAAUGCUUUUACUUUUUCAUAAUAACCAUAAAUAGUAUGAAAAUACAAACUAUAUUCAUGGAAAAUGUUUUGUUUUUAUUUUUUUUGAGACAGAAUUUUGCUCUUGUUUCCCAGGCUGGAGUGCAAUGGCACGAUCUCAGCUCACCACAACCUCUGCCUCCCGGGUUCAAGUGAUUCUCCUGCCUCAACCUCCCAAAUAGAUGGGAUUACAGGCAUGUGCCAGUACGCCCGCCUAAUUUUUUUGUUAUUUCUAGUAGAGAUGAGGUUUCUCCAUGUUGGUCAGGCUGGUCUCGAAUUCCCGACCUCAGGUAAUCUGCUCGCCUCUGCCUCCCAAAGUACUGGGAUUAUAGGUGUGAGCCACCAUGCCCGGCCCUUUGUUUUCAAAUCUCAUAUCCAACAUUGGACUUAUGGCUAGAAUAUUUACAUAAUUCUCAAAAGAUAGUAUUAAAAAUCCAAAGCUUUAAAUUAGAAAAUGGGCAAAAGUCAUGAAAGAACAUUCCCCUGAGGAUAGGGAAAUGUCAAUAAGGACAUGAUGGAAAUUAAUACUAUGAUGAGAUAUUACAGAAGAUUUAUUUUUCUUUGAGGCGGAGUCUGCCUCUGUCACCGAGGCUGGAGUGCAGUGGCAUGAUCUCAGCUCACUGCAACCUCCACCUCCCGGGUUCCAGCGAUUCUCCUGCCUCAGCCUCCCAAGUAGCUGGGAUUACAGGCGCCUGCCACCACGCCCAGCUAAUUUUUUUUUUUUUUUUUUUUUUUGUAUUUUUAGUAGAGACGGGGUUUCUCCAUGUUGGCCAAGCUGGUCUCAAACUCCUGACCUCAGGUGACCCACCUGCCUCAGCCUCCCAAAGUGCUGGAAUUAAGAGGUGUGAGCCACCACACCUGGCCUACAGCAGAUUUAUUUCAGUAGCUGAAAUAGUUAAAACAUAAUGAUUCCAAAGGCUGAGAAGCAUGCAGAAAAAAUUGAAUCUUUAUUGCUGAUGGGAAUAUAAAACUGUAUACCACAUUGGAAAAUAAUUUGGCAAUUUCUUUUAAAGCUAAACACACACAUACAGUUAGUUAGGCUUAGCAAUUGCUGUCAUGGCCUAUUUCAUAGAAAUGAAAAUUUAUGUGUAGACCAAACCUGCACUUGACUGUUCACAGAAAUUUUAUUUGUAAUAGUCAGAACCUGGAAACAACUCACAUGUUAUUCACCAGGUAAACAGUUAAAUAAGUCUGUUAUUUCCGUAUUGUGUAAUACAACUCAAAAAUUAAAAGGAAUAAACUACUACUAUACAAAUAAGCCUUAGAUGAUUCUCAAUUCUGAAGGAAAAACCCAUUUCAAGUUGUAACAUAAUGCUUAUUUUUAUGUAUCUUAAUGUGAUGAAGUUAAAUAGUUUAGAGAACAUUGUUCGUAUUCAUCUGUUAGGGAUGGUAGAAGUUAGGGUUGUAUGUGAUUAUAAGACUAGUGGAAGGGAUACGUUUUUAAUGAUGGAUGAGUUCUGCAUUCUGAUUCAUGCAGUGGUUACAAAAAUGUAUACAUGUGAUAAAAUGUCAUGUAAAUGUGCACAUUUCACCAAUGACAAUGUGCUGGUUGUGAUAUUGUACAAUGUUAAUGGAAAAUAUCACCACUGGGGAAAAUUGAGUGGUAUGUGUAAACGGUACUAUAUUUGCAGCAUUUUGUGAGUCUUUAUUUUAACAUAAUAUGUAAAUAUGUAAAGCAACUAGAAGAAUGGUUUUAAUACAGGAGAGUAACAGCUUAUAAGCAAGAGAAAGAAAAAUGAUAAAUAAUGUGAACACUUACCAAAGGAAGGGUGGAACAGAGAAAUAAAGGACAGGGAAAAUUAUCUGGGAUGAUUCCUAAAUUCCAAUAUUUGGAUGGAACUAUACAGAAUUUUAAUAUAUCUGGAAAAUAAACUGAAAAUAUUAACGGAUCCACAGAUAUUGAAGACUUAACCUUUUUUAUCUCAUUAUUCAUUAAAACAAGUGAAAUGUUAUAGGGAAUUCUUCAAAUUGAAAGAAGCAGCUCAUGCAUAACACAAAAACAUGAAUGUAUAAAACUGACUGGUAAAAGGUAAGUAACUCAAAUUCACAGUACUGGUAUACUGUAAUGGUGGUGUACAAAUAACGUAUAUCUUUAUUGUUAAGGUUAAUACACAAAACUUUUUUAAUGAGAUGGCUGUUGCUAUGUUGCUCAGGCUGGUCUGAAACUUCUGGGCUCAAGCAAUUUUCCCCCCUCAGCCUUCUGAUUAGACGGUAUUAUGGGCACCUGCCAUGAUGUCCAUCUACAAAACUAUUAAUAAUUACAACAAUUUGUUUAGCCAUAUGUGAUAUAAAUAUAUGUAAGGUGUGACAUCAAGAACAUAAUGGGUCACCAAAA
Molecule: long non-coding RNA, 10213 nt
Filed under: Homo sapiens (human)
Lineage: Eukaryota; Metazoa; Chordata; Mammalia; Primates; Hominidae
Description: HSALNT0408074
Rfam family: JPX transcript, XIST activator conserved region 1 (bases 1-125)
Source: RNAcentral